RNAcentral lists this unclassified non-coding RNA (341 nucleotides) under soil metagenome. RNAcentral's name for it is "partial contains 5.8S ribosomal RNA, internal transcribed spacer 2, and large subunit ribosomal RNA". The stretch from base 1 to 120 matches the Rfam family "5.8S ribosomal RNA", at positions 35 to 154 of the family's 154-position model. The record is from RNAcentral.
GAUGAAGAACGUAGCGAAAUGCGAUAAGUAGUGUGAAUUGCAGAAUUCAGUGAAUCAUCGAAUCUUUGAACGCUCAUUGCGUCCUUUGGUAUUCCAAAGGGCAUGCCUGUUCGAGCGUCAUUUGUACCCUCAAGCUUUGCUUGGUGUUGGGCGUCUUGUCUCUAGCUUUGCUGGAGACUCGCCUUAAAGUAAUUGGCAGCCGGCCUACUGGUUUCGGAGCGCAGCACAAGUCGCACUCUCUAUCAGCAAAGGUCUAGCAUCCAUUAAGCCUUUUUUUCAACUUUUGACCUCGGAUCAGGUAGGGAUACCCGCUGAACUUAAGCAUAUCAAUAAGCGGAGGA